RNAcentral lists this transfer RNA (73 nucleotides) under Mesocricetus auratus (golden hamster). It matches the Rfam family "tRNA". From Rfam's summary of the family: Transfer RNA (tRNA) molecules are approximately 80 nucleotides in length. Their secondary structure includes four short double-helical elements and three loops (D, anti-codon, and T loops). Further hydrogen bonds mediate the characteristic L-shaped molecular structure. tRNAs have two regions of fundamental functional importance: the anti-codon, which is responsible for specific mRNA codon recognition, and the 3' end, to which the tRNAs corresponding amino acid is attached (by aminoacyl-tRNA synthetases). tRNAs cope with the degeneracy of the genetic code in two manners: having more than one tRNA (with a specific anti-codon) for a particular amino acid; and 'wobble' base-pairing, i.e. permitting non-standard base-pairing at the 3rd anti-codon position. The record is from Rfam by way of RNAcentral. Lineage: Eukaryota; Metazoa; Chordata; Mammalia; Rodentia; Cricetidae.
UGGGGUGUAGCUCAAUAGGCAGAGCACUUGCCUAGCGUGCUUGAGACUCUGGGUUCAAUCCCCAGCAUUUCGU